UACGAGGGGGGCAAGCGUUGUUCGGAAUUAUUGGGCGUAAAGGGCGCGUAGGCGGUGCGGUAAGUCUGAUGUGAAAUCUCCGGGCUCAACUCGGAGUCUGCAUCAGAAACUGCCGUGCUCGAGUGUGGGAGAGGUGAGUGGAAUUCCCGGUGUAGCGGUGAAAUGCGUAGAGAUCGGGAGGAAUACCUAUGGCGAAAGCAGGCUUCUGGGCCAUCACUGACACUGAUCUGCGAAAGCUAGGGGAGCAAACAGG
This 253-nucleotide ribosomal RNA is filed under the name uncultured bacterium. Its description in RNAcentral is "partial 16S ribosomal RNA". It matches the Rfam family "Bacterial small subunit ribosomal RNA", at positions 524 to 776 of the family's 1533-position model. The record is from RNAcentral.